This is a non-coding RNA of Pelobates cultripes (western spadefoot toad), 225 nucleotides long. Lineage: Eukaryota; Metazoa; Chordata; Amphibia; Anura; Pelobatidae. The record is from the annotation of a GenBank genome assembly.
CAUCAGUGGAGGAAUUAAUGUAGAGAGAACCUUGGUGCAAGAUAUUGUUUGCCCCCUGCAACGCAAGGGUGGCCGAAAGGUAGAUUCCCAUCCAUUGUGCAUCACACAAGGUGUUGGCAUUUGAUUGCAGUUGUGUGUUUGUGUGUACUGUUGCCACAUGAAUGCAGUUGAAUACUUGUUUUUAACAAAAAUUGAUACCACACUCAACAUGAAAACAAUCUAAAG